CUCUGGUGCGGGCUCUUCAUGGUGCCACGGUCUCAUUUGAGGGACACCCAUCUUGUCUGGCAUAGGGUCUUCCAAGGGCUGUAGAACAAGAGUUACCAGCCUCCCCCAAUUCCUCUUGAUCCAGAGUGACUCCGAUGAAGUCUGAAUAUGUGGGAAAAGUUUGUUUACAGAAGAAGUGAUAGCAGCGUUCUCCAAGUGAUAGUGAUGCAGACGGUCGCUAGGCUGAU
Long non-coding RNA from Tyto alba (common barn owl), 227 nucleotides. RefSeq lists it as uncharacterized. The transcript has 3 exons. The record is from RefSeq and is a predicted model, not a curated record. Lineage: Eukaryota; Metazoa; Chordata; Aves; Strigiformes; Tytonidae.